This 250-nucleotide ribosomal RNA is filed under the name uncultured bacterium. RNAcentral describes it as "partial 16S ribosomal RNA". It matches the Rfam family "Bacterial small subunit ribosomal RNA", at positions 524 to 773 of the family's 1533-position model. The record is from RNAcentral.
UACGUAGGGGGCGAGCGUUGUCCGGAAUUACUGGGCGUAAAGAGCGUGUAGGCGGCCUGUUUAGUCAGAUGUGAAAACUCUCGGCUCAACUGGGAGACUGCAUUUGAUACUGGCAGGCUGGAGUGCAGGAGAGGGAAGUGGAAUUCCAAGUGUAGCGGUGAAAUGCGCAGAUAUUUGGAAGAACACCAGUGGCGAAGGCGGCUUCCUGGACUGUUACUGACGCUGAGACGCGAAAGCUAGGGGAGCGAAC